Molecule: non-coding RNA, 52 nt
Organism: Macaca mulatta (Rhesus monkey)
Lineage: Eukaryota; Metazoa; Chordata; Mammalia; Primates; Cercopithecidae
Source: Rfam
CUUUUAGUAUAAAUGUGUCCCAUGCAAUAUUUGGAACACAUUUAUACUAAAA